This 374-nucleotide ribosomal RNA is filed under the name uncultured bacterium. RNAcentral describes it as "bacterial SSU rRNA". It matches the Rfam family "Bacterial small subunit ribosomal RNA", at positions 524 to 898 of the family's 1533-position model. The record is from RNAcentral.
UACAGAGGGUGCAAGCGUUAAUCGGACUUACUGGGCGUAAAGGGUGCGUAGGCGGGAGCUUAAGUUAGUUGUGAAAGGCCUGGGCUUAACCUGGGAACUGCAAUUAAGACUGGGCAUCUAGAGUUGAGUAGAGGGGAGCGGAAUUUCCGGUGUAGCGGUGAAAUGCGUAGAUAUCGGAAGGAACACCUGUUGCGAAGGCGGCUCUCUGGACUCAAACUGACGCUGAGGCACGAAAGCGUGGGUAGCGAACAGGAUUAGAUACCCUGGUAGUCCACGCUGUAAACGAUGAGUACUAGCUGUUGCUGUCGCGAGACGGCAGUAGCGAAGCAAACGCGAUAAGUACUCCGCCUGGGGACUACGGCCGCAAGGCUAAA